RNAcentral lists this ribosomal RNA (279 nucleotides) under uncultured bacterium. Its description in RNAcentral is "partial 16S ribosomal RNA". It matches the Rfam family "Bacterial small subunit ribosomal RNA", at positions 506 to 784 of the family's 1533-position model. The record is from RNAcentral.
UGCCAGCCGCCGCGGUAAUACGGAGGGUGCAAGCGUUAAUCGGAAUUACUGGGCGUAAAGAGUACGUAGGCGGCUUUUCAAGUCGGAUGUGAAAGCCCUGAGCUUAACUCAGGAACUGCAUUCGAUACUGGAUCGCUAGAGUAUAUUAGAGGAUAGUGGAAUUUCAAGUGUAGCGGUGAAAUGCGUAGAUAUUUGAAGGAACACCAAUGGCGAAGGCAGAUAUCUGGAAUAAUACUGAAGCUGAGGUACGAAAGCGUGGGGAGAAAACAGGAUUAGAUA